AAUUAAACUCACACUUCUCAUUUAUUCAUAAAUAACAAACCUCUUUAAUUUAUUUUACUUCAAAUCCAAUUUCUCAAUUUUAUUAUUUCUCCCUUCUGUAGCAAGCUGAUGCAAAUCUAUAAGAGCUUUUGCAAUAACUUCCUGAGACAUAGAUGCAUUUCAUACGGCGAGGAUGUUGACACAAAGUGAUAGAAAGGAUGUUUGCUAGACUCGAAGGGUUAGCCAAGUUGAUAAGGGUAAAGUAAUUGAUACUGACGCUAAAACGUCUGACCGUGAAGUACGUACAAACGGAACAUCCGGCGGAAUUAUAGGAUUAUAUUAAUACGCUCGUUUUACCGGGCCAUGGCUGUUAUUUGCAGUUACCUUCUUCGAUUACCCUGCGUGUAAAUUCAUUCAUUAGGGAUUUGUGGAUCUUUGAAGACUAUUAGAGGGUGGCCAAUCUAAAUUGGCUAAACUAUAAAAUGAAUUUUAAUUAAAUUAUUGAUACAAUUAGUAAUCCAAGAAUUCAGAAGGGUGUCACUAAGUCUAACAAGUGUAAAUGACGGCUGAAUACGACCGUGUGCACGCGAACAAAAGAGUGAAUUUUUAAGGGUGAACAAAGCAUUUAAAGAAACUCCAACUCUAAAUAUUAACUAAAAAAAUACUUUCAAAAAAAUACGUGAUAUCAAAGUCUCCCAUCAUGAGAAUUUAUACAUCCAGAAUGGAAGAAAAAUUACCUGAUAUUCGCGAAUCCUAUUCGAUAGUGCUGUACAUUGAUCAUAUGCCACCUGACGCGUUCGCCAGUAUAAAAUUGCGUGUGAGAUAAACGUCUCAUUCUUCCACGAUUCACGAUACUUGAAACGUUUAAAAUAUUCCAACUUUAUUCCAUACAAUGGGAUAGUGGAAAACACUGUACAAGUAAAUGAUUCCAUGAUCGCCGCUACGCGGCGAAUUAUCGUUCACAUCCUUUCCCCGAGACGUAAAUCCCAAUAUCGA
Molecule: long non-coding RNA, 975 nt
Organism: Apis florea (little honeybee)
Lineage: Eukaryota; Metazoa; Arthropoda; Insecta; Hymenoptera; Apidae
Source: RefSeq, a predicted model, not a curated record